AUGGCUAUUCUGGGACAAUUUCUGAGCUUCAAAGGCUUGCAUUUUGGAUCAGUGCUGAGUUGUCUCUGUUUGGCAUUUGUGCUGGAAGCAGUCCCAGAAUUUCCAGGCAUCCCUGAGAAAAUGGGCCUGUAUUUCCUGUGUGGUGUCUCUGGAGGCCUUAUCUUUCUAUUACGCAUCUUUACUUCCAAAAUGAUCUUUGUCCAAGAAAUGAAAGAAGUUUCUGGGUGUAUAAAUUCCAAGUUGGGCAAGAAAAAGCUACAGGAUCAGGAAGAAGAAGAAAACCACAAUGAUGACAGUUCUUCUGGUUCCUCUUUCCAUCACUUUACGUACACCUAUCCAUCCUUGAAUAGCAUGUUUUGCCCUGAGCUGACUGCAGCUUUAGAGCAUUCAGCUAACGGAAGAAAGAGAUGA
RNAcentral lists this long non-coding RNA (411 nucleotides) under Bos indicus x Bos taurus (hybrid cattle). RNAcentral describes it as "lncRNA (ENSBIXG00005000970.1)". The record is from RNAcentral. Lineage: Eukaryota; Metazoa; Chordata; Mammalia; Artiodactyla; Bovidae.